Molecule: small nucleolar RNA, 68 nt
Organism: Rana temporaria (common frog)
Lineage: Eukaryota; Metazoa; Chordata; Amphibia; Anura; Ranidae
Source: RefSeq, a predicted model, not a curated record
CGGAAGUGAUGACGCAUUUUUCUCCUGACAAAAAAUGGAGGCAUAAACUGAUUUAAUGAGCCUGAUCC